GACGAACGCUGGCGGCGUGCUUAACACAUGCAAGUCGAACGGAAAGGCCCUGCUUUUGUGGGGUUCUCGAGUGGCGCACGGGUGAGUGACACGUGAGUAACCUCCCCUUGACUUUGUGGUAACUUCAGGAAACUGGGGCUCAUACCCGGUAGGAUCUCCUGCUGCAUGGUGUGGGUUGGAAAGUUUCGGCGGUUUGGGCUGUACUCGCGGCUUAUCAGCUUGUUUGUGUGGUAGUGGCUUACCAAGGCUAUGACGGGUAGCCGGCCUGAGAGGGUGACCGGCCACAAUGGGACUGAGAGACGGCCCAGAAGCCUACGGGAGGCAGCAGUGGGGAAUAUUGCACAAUGGGCGGAAGCCAGAUGCAGCAACGCCGCGUGCGGGAUGACGGCCUUCGGGUGGUAAACCGCUGUCGCCUGUGACGAAGCGUGAGUGACGGUAAUGGGUAAAGAAGCACCGGCUAACUACGUG
This 468-nucleotide ribosomal RNA is filed under the name uncultured bacterium. Its description in RNAcentral is "partial 16S ribosomal RNA". It matches the Rfam family "Bacterial small subunit ribosomal RNA", at positions 28 to 507 of the family's 1533-position model. The record is from RNAcentral.